Molecule: long non-coding RNA, 523 nt
Filed under: Bos taurus (domestic cattle)
Lineage: Eukaryota; Metazoa; Chordata; Mammalia; Artiodactyla; Bovidae
Description: long non-coding RNA NONBTAT011209
Source: RNAcentral
UGCUGGAAAAUACAUAAAAUCACACUUUAAAGGCAGACCUGAAAUUCUCCUAGCUCACCUUAGAAGAGUUACUGGAAAAAACUAAUGAUUAAUCAUUGCACUUUCUUUUCUUCCCAGUUCCAUGAUCAACUAAGCACUUCAUUUCUUUUAUAUUCUCAUUUUGCUCAUUGAUUGAUAGUAUCUGGCUCCAUAUUCAAACUCUAUAAUACAAUGCACAGACUGGGUUUUUGUUGGUGUUUUUUCAGACAGUUUUGGCAUCUUCCUGACCUGAAGAGGAAAAUGAAGCCAAUGUAUGCCACGGUUUUCUUAAGAGAUGUUAGAGAUAAGCAAAGCGUAAAAUUUUGUACUCUGUAUGAUGAAAUCAAAGCUUGAAACAUAAUUAUUAAUAGUAUGCAAAGAGUUUAUCAAGAAGAACAAAACAAACCAAUUUCUGGGAGAAUUUAUCAUUGAUAUUUUUGUUUACUUUUUCUGAUUAUAUGAAUUGAACUUAACUUCUACCAUGAAUUCUCAUAGGAUAAACACU